RNAcentral lists this ribosomal RNA (104 nucleotides) under Bacillus sp. ISL-45. Lineage: Bacteria; Bacillati; Bacillota; Bacilli; Caryophanales; Bacillaceae. The record is from RNAcentral.
GGCGAGAAGGUCACACCCGUUUCCAUACCGAACACGGAAGUUAAGCUUCUCAGCGCCGAUGGUAGUUGGGGGUUUCCCCCUGUGAGAGUAGGACGCCGCCGGGC